Molecule: ribosomal RNA, 749 nt
Filed under: Gastrostomobdella monticola
Lineage: Eukaryota; Metazoa; Annelida; Clitellata; Hirudinida; Gastrostomobdellidae
Description: 12S ribosomal RNA
Source: RNAcentral
UUAGUUUGAUUCUACCUAAAAGAUUAAUGAUUUUUAAUAAAUCUUAUGCUUAAUUUAAAUAAAUAUUCUACCUCUUAAAGAAUGAUAACGUAUAUAACUAUGUUAUCAAAUAGCAGCGAUUAGUAUUAUACAAUGUGUUUACGCACGAAAUGGUUUAAAUAUCUUUGACGGCCUAACUCGUGCCAGCAGCAGCGGUUAUACAAUAGACAUUUAACAUAUAAAAUCUAUACAGGUAUUAUAAAAAUAAUAUAUUAGUCAAAUAUUUAUAUAUUUAGCUUUGAAUAUACCAUUUAAUAAACUAUAUACUAAAACAAGGAUUAGAUACCCUUUUAUUAUUAGUACAAAAAUAAGAUUGGAGACUAUAAGUAACAACUUUAAAACCCAAGAAUUUGGCGGUGUCUUAUUCAAUCAGGGGGACCUGUUCAAUAAAUCGACAGUCCACGAAUAACAUACCUUAUUUUAAAUACUACAGCAUGUGUACUGCCGUCCAAUGGGCCCCUAUAGAUUCCUAUAAAUAAAUAAGUUUAUUUAUUAUACGUCAGGUCAAAGUGCAGUUAAUAAUAAGGAUGAUAUGGGUUUCAAGCUAUAACAUAGUCUGAUUAAUAGCUUAAGAUUGUUUUAGAGAAGAACUUGAUAGUAAUUAUAUUAGUGUUAUAAUGAAAAUGAACUUAAGAUAAGCACAUAUCGCCCGUCACUCCUUUAUAUAGGAUAAGUCGUAACAUAGUAGGAGUAAUGGAAAUUGCAUCUAU